AUUGAACGCUGGCGGCAGGCUUAACACAUGCAAGUCGAGCGAGCGGCGGACGGGUGAGUAAUGUCUGGGAAACUGCCUGAUGGCGGGGGAUAACUACUGGAAACGGUAGCUAAUACCGCAUACCAUCAGAUGUGCCCAGAUGGGAGUAGCUCGUAGGUGGGGUAAUGGCCCACCUAGGCGACGAUCCCUAGCUGGUCUGAGAGGAUGACAAGCGACACUAGAACUGAGACAAGGUACAGACGACUACGGGAGGAAGGAGGGGGGAAUAGUGCAGAAUGGGAGGAGGCCUGAGCCAGCCAUGCCGCGUGUGGGAAGAAGGCAGGGGGGUUGUAAAGCACUUUCAGCGAGGAGGCGUUACUCGCAGAAGAAGCACCGGCUAACUCCGUGCCAGCAGCCGCGGUAAUAC
RNAcentral lists this ribosomal RNA (406 nucleotides) under uncultured bacterium. Its description in RNAcentral is "partial 16S ribosomal RNA". It matches the Rfam family "Bacterial small subunit ribosomal RNA", at positions 29 to 526 of the family's 1533-position model. The record is from RNAcentral.